AUUGAACGCUGGCGGCAGGCCUAACACAUGCAAGUCGAACGAGUGGCGGACGUGUGAGUAAUGUCUGGGACUCUGCCUUUUGGAGGGGUAUAACUUCUGGAAACUUUCGCUUAUACCGCAUACUAUCAUAUGCGCCGAUAGGGGAUUAGCUUGUUGGUGGGGUAACGGCUCACCAAGGCGACGAUCCAUAGCUGGUCUGAGAGGAUGAUCAGCCACACUGGAACUGAGACACGGUCCAGACUCCUACGGGAGGCAGCAGUGGGGAAUAUUGGACAAUGGGCGCAAGCCUGAUGCAGCCAUGCCGCGUGGAUGAAGAAGGCCUUCGGGUUGUAAAGUACUUUUAGCGGGGAGGCGUUACCCGCAGAAGAAGCACCGGCUAACUCCGUGCCAGCAGCCGCGGUAAUUC
RNAcentral lists this ribosomal RNA (406 nucleotides) under uncultured bacterium. RNAcentral's name for it is "partial 16S ribosomal RNA". It matches the Rfam family "Bacterial small subunit ribosomal RNA", at positions 30 to 526 of the family's 1533-position model. The record is from RNAcentral.